Molecule: non-coding RNA, 91 nt
Organism: Brachypodium distachyon (stiff brome)
Lineage: Eukaryota; Viridiplantae; Streptophyta; Magnoliopsida; Poales; Poaceae
Source: Rfam
GGGGCAUAUGAUGAGAAUCUGCAUCCAAUCUCACAACGGUCGUCUGAGACACUUAGUGUGUCAUGUUGCAACCAUACUUUCUCUGAUGUCU